GCUGGGUGUGGUGGCGCAUGCCUGUACUCCCAGCUACUCUGGAGGCUGAGGUGGGAGGAUCACUUGAGCCUAGGAGGUCAAAGCUGCAGUGAACCAAGAUCAUGUCACUGCACUCCAGCCUAGGCAAUAGAGUGAGACCCUACCUCAA
Molecule: signal recognition particle RNA, 148 nt
Filed under: Homo sapiens (human)
Lineage: Eukaryota; Metazoa; Chordata; Mammalia; Primates; Hominidae
Description: Metazoan signal recognition particle RNA
Rfam family: Metazoan signal recognition particle RNA
About the family: The signal recognition particle (SRP) is a universally conserved ribonucleoprotein.
Source: Rfam by way of RNAcentral